RNAcentral lists this ribosomal RNA (490 nucleotides) under uncultured Nitrospira sp. RNAcentral's name for it is "bacterial SSU rRNA". It matches the Rfam family "Bacterial small subunit ribosomal RNA", at positions 8 to 490 of the family's 1533-position model. The record is from RNAcentral. Lineage: Bacteria; Pseudomonadati; Nitrospirota; Nitrospiria; Nitrospirales; Nitrospiraceae.
AGAGUUUGAUCAUGGCUCAGAAUGAACGCUGGCGGCGCGCCUAAUACAUGCAAGUCGAGCGAGAAGACGUAGCAAUACGUUUGUAAAGCGGCGAACGGGUGAGGAAUACAUGGGUAACCUACCCUCGAGUGGGGAAUAACUAGCCGAAAGGUUAGCUAAUACCGCGUACGCUCCUUGGACUUCGGUUCAGGGAGGAAAGCGCUACCGUGGGUAGCGCGCUCUUGGAUGGGCUCAUGUCCUAUCAGCUUGUUGGUGAGGUAACGGCUCACCAAGGCUUCGACGGGUAGCUGGUCUGAGAGGACGACCAGCCACACUGGCACUGCGACACGGGCCAGACUCCUACGGGAGGCAGCAGUAAGGAAUAUUGCGCAAUGGGCGAAAGCCUGACGCAGCGACGCCGCGUGGGGGAUGAAGGUCUUCGGAUUGUAAACCCCUUUCGGGAGGGAAGAUGGAAUGGGGUAACCCAUUUGGACGGUACCUCCAGAAGCAG